GGUGGCCCCGAGGAGACAAGCGUGGCCGCAUUAGCUCUUUCUGCCUCCCACGCAGCCUUAUUUUUUUUAUUGUUGUUUUCUUGUUGCUGUUGUUGUUGUUCUCGGAGACGGAGUCUUGCUCUUGCUCUGUCGUCGCCCACGAUAGAGUACAGUGGCGUGAUCUCUGCUCACUGCAACCUCCGCCUCCUGGGUUCAAACAAUUCUGCCUCAGCCUCCGGAGUAGCUGGGAUUACAGGCGCGCGCCACUAUGCCCGGCUAAUUUUUGUGUUUUUAGUAAAGACGGGGUUUCACCAUGUCGGCCAGGCUGUUCUCGAACUCCUGACCUCGUGAUCCCUCCGUCUCGGCUUCCCAAAGUGCUGGGAUUACGGGCGUGAGCCACCGUGCCCGGCCGCAGCCUUGUUUUGACUGAGUCAGUGGGAGCCAUUACUGUUCCUAAAUGUAAACUGGCGUGACAGGAGUUCCGGGAUUGUCCACAGCACGGUGAUGUGGAAGCCCUGGGGAGAGAAUGAUAAAGAAAGGGGAUGAGGAACAGCUCCACCCGGAAGAGCGGGCUUCCCUAGCAAAUGAAUCUGGAAGGGCGCAGGGGAGGGGGCACGGCGAGUUCAGAUGGACCGAGGCUGGAAGCUGACGCGGUUGGAGGGGGAUGGGUGUAGCUGUUGGCAGUGGCGCUGGGGUGGAAGUGUGUGGGGUCACAGAUGUGUAAGGGUGGGCGCGGAGCAGACCCCCGAAGGUCCCUGAGGUCAGGCUGAGGCAUUGGACCAAAUCCGUACAUAGGCAUUUCUCUGAACUGCGCGCCACCUUUUGAGUGCCAUCUGUUUCCGUCCAGGACUCUGAUACAACUAUCCAGUCCGCUGCAGGGACCGGUCACUGUGUCACACAUUCUGUACACAGAUACAGCGAUAAAAUGAAAUGACUGGAACUUAAAUGUGAAAACUCUUUACAAGGAUGGUGGCAGCUCACAGCCUCAGGAGAAGUGUUUUGAGUGCCUGUUCCUCUAGGUCCUCGCCCGCCCAGGACAUCACCACUCUUGUUAAUUUCAUUGUGUCUAGGUAGUGAAAAAGUGUAGUUUCUCAUUCUUUCAAAUUGCAUUUCCCAAUUAUUAGAGUUUGAAUCUUUUUGUCUGUUUACUGAUG
RNAcentral lists this long non-coding RNA (1133 nucleotides) under Homo sapiens (human). Its description in RNAcentral is "non-protein coding LENG8-AS1:22". Lineage: Eukaryota; Metazoa; Chordata; Mammalia; Primates; Hominidae. The record is from RNAcentral.